Molecule: ribosomal RNA, 494 nt
Filed under: uncultured bacterium
Lineage: Bacteria
Description: partial 16S ribosomal RNA
Rfam family: Bacterial small subunit ribosomal RNA
Source: RNAcentral
GACGAACGCUGGCGGCGCGCUUAACACAUGCAAGUCGAACGGAAAGGCCUGCUUUCCCUUGUGGAUUGCGGGUACUCGAGUGGCGAACGGGUGAGUAACACGUGAGUGAUCUGCCCCCAACUUGGGUAUAAGCCUGGGAAACUGGGUCUAAUUCCCGAUAGGACUGCAGGGUGGUGCCUGUGGUGGAAAACGAUUUUCUAGUGGUUGGGGAUGAGCUCGCGGCCUAUCAGCUUGUUGGUGGGGUAAUGGCCUACCAAGGCGGCGACGGGUAGCCGGCCUGAGAGGGUGGACGGGCACAUUGGGACUGAGAUACGGCCCAGACGCCUACGGGAGGCAGCAGUGGGGAAUAUUGCACAAUGGGCGGAAGCCUGAUGCAGCGACGCCGCGUGGGGGAUGACGGCCUUCGGGUUGUAAACUCCUUUCGACCGCGAGGAAGCCACCUGGUUGGAAGGGUGGUGACGGUAGUGGUAGAAGAAGCACCGGCUAACUACGUG